AUGGCGGAUGCCACGAGCGCAGGAGCGACGCCUCUCCUCCCUGGCCUCCUCGACGACAUCGUAAUCUGUGAGAUCCUCGUCCGCCUGCCCCCCAAAGCCCUCCUCCGCUGCCGCGCCGUCAGCCGCGCAUGGCGCCGCACCACCUCCACCCGCGACUUCCUCCUCGCCCACCACGCCCGCCAGCCCGCCCUCCUCAUCACCUCCGGCCACGAUUACGGCGGCCGCCUCCACGACCGUGACCUCAUCACCUACGACCAUCGGGCCCGGGCCGCCGGCGCCCAGCUGCAACACGUCGCCCAGCUUGACGAGAGGGACUGUGGCCUGGUGGCCUGCUGCGACGGCCUCCUCCUCAUUUCACACAACAUAAACAGGAAGGAUGCCUGCUCCUCCAUCUACAACCCGGCCACUCGUCAAUGCGCUCCCAUACCUGCGCUUUGUGACUCCAAGGUCAGUUGCAACCAUAUCUUGGGGAUGUAUCGGCACCACCCUACCGGCGAGUACCGGAUACUAGUGCAUGGUAAAAAUAAGGAAACCGAUUAUCAUGAGGAGGAAAUCUAUUUUUAUGAUGAUGCCUGCUACAUCUUUGCAUUGGGCUCCGUCCAGCCAUUGAGGAACAUCAGGUUCCCGCCGGAGAUUGAGCAACUGCUUUUACACUGUGAGGCCGCCAUGACAGCUGUUAUGUUUGGUGGCAACCUGCAUUGGCACAUAGACCAAAAUGAGACUGAAAGCAACAUGAUAGUGAUAUUCGACACCACAACUGAGUCGUUCCGGCAGAUGCAUGCUCCAGUUGUUCCGGUUUUUAGAAAUGUUCCUGCCUAUGCUGACUUGUUUGACAUGGAUGGCGUGCUUGGCAUGCUAAGUUGUGAUGAGGCCGCAAAUACCAUCGAUAUCUGGGUGUUGCGCGGGACUAUGAAAGCGAGGUCUGGACCUUCAAGUGCAAGAUUGAAGUGCCGGUCAUUGAGAUCAAGGCAUUGUGUGGACAAUAUGACAAUUGUUGGUAUGCCGUAG
RNAcentral lists this ribosomal RNA (1008 nucleotides) under Triticum aestivum (bread wheat). Its description in RNAcentral is "partial small subunit ribosomal RNA". Lineage: Eukaryota; Viridiplantae; Streptophyta; Magnoliopsida; Poales; Poaceae. The record is from RNAcentral.